AGUAAUAUGGGAAAUACAAAAAUGAAAUAAAAACUACCUGUAAUCUCCCCUCCGCCUGGAGAAAACAACUGUUUACAUUUUGGUGUAUUCUCCCAUUAUUCUUUUCAAAUAUAUACCUUGAUAGCACAACAUGGCCCCCUGAAUUUUAUUAACUUAAUAUUUCAUCAUGAAUGUGUCCUCAUGGCAUUAAGUAUUCUUGGAACAUAUGUUUUUUCAGGGCUGCUCAGAUCCCAUUAUGGAUGGUCUGUGGAGUAGUUGAGACAGAGUUAUUGGACAGGCUCAGUGGAAGGAAAUUUCCUUGUCUCAGGUUUUUCUUUUGUCCAGCCACCUCUCUAAACUGUUUGACUUCUGCAGUUGUUUUUCAGGGGGAAGAGAAUACUGAGAUGGAUUUAAUGAAAUUACAUUUUCCAAGAAGCCUCUUGAACAGAAUGAAGUUCUUCAUUUGCCACUAAACUUUCCUCCUUGACUGAGCUCACUGAUGGUUUCUUUAAUAUGCAGAGAAAGGAUCUCCUUCUGCCAUGAACCUGAGGAUGCCCAGUGGCUGACUAUACUUGCCACAAACAACUCCAAGAUGGUUAAUAUGAACAGAUAUUCCGAAAGGAGUUUGCCACUUUUCUGUAUCCACAAAGAAAAUGUACAUUCCUUACAGAUCUUUCUAUGUGAGCACUUUAGAAAUAAUAAAGGUAUCUUAAAAUUGAAGAAGAAAAAUAGAAGAGAAAAACUACCCACCCUAUCCUCCACCCUCAACAAUAGAAUUUUAAAUAUUUUUUAAUUGUAAUUACAAUGGAUAAUUAUUGAGGAUGAUGAUAUACUGAUAUAUUUCUGCCAAAUGUAUGAUGAGAAUCAUUGAUUGUGUUUUCCUGUUUAUUGUUGUGGAUAAUAACAGGAAAUUUUCAUUGAGUCCAAUAAAUCUCUGGGGAAGAUGGAAUUGUGACACCCUUGAGGUUUAGUGUUAUAGAACUUAUUUAAUAGAGAAACUUACAUAAAUUUGCCCUGUUGAUAGGAAAGGACACUAAAGAGAAACAAUGAAAGAAAAGAAUGUUUGGACUUGUAACCUGGACUCAACACAAGGGCUGAUGUGACCUGGGGGUAGGAAUUUCCUCCUGGGAUUGUGCCUCUGUCUAUAAGCUCCAAUAGACCCAUAUCCUGACAGUAUAGCUGGGUUAGAGACAAGAAUACAGAAUCCGUAAUAUUGGAAGCCCAAGCCUCUUCAGUACUCAGUGCACUUUUAUGACAAGGUCACCAUGGGCUACUCAAAUCAGUGUUAAAUAAUGGCGUCAUUUAAUAGUAACUGAACCAUAGCAGUGGAAAUUAAGGGCACACUGGUGGACUGAUGAGGUACUACAUGACUCUGUUAACUAAGGGCUUGGAGUCAAUAUCGAACCUUUGGAUCCCAGUGGU
This 1401-nucleotide long non-coding RNA is filed under the name Homo sapiens (human). RNAcentral describes it as "HSALNT0362919". Lineage: Eukaryota; Metazoa; Chordata; Mammalia; Primates; Hominidae. The record is from RNAcentral.